UAUCGGAACGUAUCCAAUAAUGGGGGAUAACGAGUCGAAAGAUUCGCUAAUACCGCAUACGCCCUACGGGGGAAAGCUAGGGACCUUUGGGCCUGGCGUUAAUGGAGCGGCCGAUAUCUGAUUAGCUAGUUGGUGAGGUAAAGGCUCACCAAGGCGACGAUCAGUAGCUGGUCUGAGAGGACGACCAGCCACACUGGAACUGAGACACGGUCCAGACUCCUACGGGAGGCAGCAGUGGGGAAUUUUGGACAAUGGGCGCAAGCCUGAUCCAGCCAUUCCGCGUGAGUGAAGAAGGCCUUCGGGUUGUAAAGCUCUUUCGCAAGGGAAGAAAACUUAUCCUCUAACAUAGGAUGAGGUUGACGGUACCUUGAUAAGAAGCACCGGCUAACUACGUGCCAGCAGCCGCGGUAAUACGUAGGGUGCGAGCGUUAAUCGGAAUUACUGGGCGUAAAGCGUGCGCAGGCGGCUUUGUAAGUCAGAUGUGAAAUCCCCGAGCUCAACUUGGGAACUGCGUUUGAAACUACAAGGCUAGAAUAUGUCAGGGGGGGGUAGAAUUCCACGUGUAGCAGUGAAAUGCGUAGAGAUGUGGAGGAAUACCAAUGGCGAAGGCAGCCCCCUGGGAUAAUAUUGACGCUCAUGCACGAAAGCGUGGGGAGCAAACAGGAUUAGAUACCCUGGUAGUCCACGCCCUAAACGAUGUCUACUAGUUGUUGGUGGAGUAAAAUCCAUGAGUAACGCAGCUAACGCGUGAAGUAGACCGCCUGGGGAGUACGGUCGCAAGAUUAAAACUCAAAUGAAUUGACGGGGGCCCGCACAAGCGGUGGAUUAUGUGGAUUAAUUCGAUGCAACGCGAAAAACCUUACCUGUCUUGACAUGUA
RNAcentral lists this ribosomal RNA (878 nucleotides) under uncultured bacterium. Its description in RNAcentral is "bacterial SSU rRNA". It matches the Rfam family "Bacterial small subunit ribosomal RNA", at positions 116 to 990 of the family's 1533-position model. The record is from RNAcentral.